Molecule: unclassified non-coding RNA, 331 nt
Filed under: soil metagenome
Description: partial contains 5.8S ribosomal RNA, internal transcribed spacer 2, and large subunit ribosomal RNA
Rfam family: 5.8S ribosomal RNA (bases 1-120)
Source: RNAcentral
GAUGAAGAACGCAGCGAAAUGCGAUAAGUAAUGUGAAUUGCAGAAUUCAGUGAAUCAUCGAAUCUUUGAACGCACAUUGCGCCCCCUGGUAUUCCGGGGGGCAUGCCUGUUCGAGCGUCAUUUCACCACUCAAGCCUCGCUUGGUAUUGGGCAACGCGGUCCGCCGCGUGCCUCAAAUCGACCGGCUGGGUCUUCUGUCCCCUAAGCGUUGUGGAAACUAUUCGCUAAAGGGUGUUCGGGAGGCUACGCCGUAGAACAACCCCAUUUCUAAGGUUGACCUCGGAUCAGGUAGGGAUACCCGCUGAACUUAAGCAUAUCAAUAAGCGGAGGA